Molecule: long non-coding RNA, 190 nt
Organism: Amphibalanus amphitrite
Lineage: Eukaryota; Metazoa; Arthropoda; Thecostraca; Balanomorpha; Balanidae
Exons: 3
Source: RefSeq, a predicted model, not a curated record
CACCCGUCAUCUGGUGGACGGAACCGCGGCCACACUUCUGCUGCUCGAUCUCAUGACAAUGGCAAUCAACCUGUGGUGCAUAGUGUGCGUGGUGUCUCAGUACAGAAUCUACCGGGGCUCCAACGGACAGCUUACUGAGCUUGGCUCCAGCCUCCGGGCCCCUCUGACGACCACGCCGGGGGUCUCAGCC